This 257-nucleotide ribosomal RNA is filed under the name uncultured bacterium. RNAcentral describes it as "partial 16S ribosomal RNA". It matches the Rfam family "Bacterial small subunit ribosomal RNA", at positions 524 to 776 of the family's 1533-position model. The record is from RNAcentral.
UACAGAGGUCUCAAGCGUUGUUCGGAUUCAUUGGGCGUAAAGGGUGCGUAGGCGGCGCGGUAAGUCGGGUGUGAAAUCUCGGAGCUUAACUCCGAAACUGCAUUCGAUACUGCCGUGCUUGAGGACUGGAGAGGAGACUGGAAUUUACGGUGUAGCGGUGAAAAUGCGUAGAUAUCGUAAGGAAGACCAGUGGCGAAAGGCGGGUCUCUGGACCACUACUGACGCUGAGGCGCGAAAAGCUAGGGGGAGCAAACAGG